AUUGAACGUUGGCGGCAGGCCUAACACAUGCAAGUCGAACGGUAGCACAGAGAGCUUGCUCUCGGGUGACGAGUGGCGGACGGGUGAGUAAUGUCUGGGAAACUGCCCGAUGGAGGGGGAUAACUACUGGAAACGGUAGCUAAUACCGCAUAACGUCGCAAGACCAAAGUGGGGGACCUUCGGGCCUCACACCAUCGGAUGUGCCCAGAUGGGAUUAGCUAGUAGGUGGGGUAAUGGCUCACCUAGGCGACGAUCCCUAGCUGGUCUGAGAGGAUGACCAGCCACACUGGAACUGAGACACGGUCCAGACUCCUACGGGAGGGAGCAGUGGGGAAUAUUGCACACUGGGCGCAAGCCUGAUGCAGCCAUGCCGCGUGUAUGAAGAAGGCCUUCGGGUUGUAAAGUACUUUCAGCGGGGAGGAAGGCGGUGAAGUUAAUAGCUUCACCGAUUGACGUUACCCGCAGAAGAAGCACCGGCUAACUCCGUGCCGGCCGCCGCCGUAA
RNAcentral lists this ribosomal RNA (504 nucleotides) under uncultured bacterium. RNAcentral describes it as "partial 16S ribosomal RNA". It matches the Rfam family "Bacterial small subunit ribosomal RNA", at positions 30 to 523 of the family's 1533-position model. The record is from RNAcentral.